Molecule: non-coding RNA, 31 nt
Filed under: Mus musculus (house mouse)
Lineage: Eukaryota; Metazoa; Chordata; Mammalia; Rodentia; Muridae
Source: RNAcentral
UGGGAUGUCUGCACACUCACUCUUACAAAGC